This 483-nucleotide ribosomal RNA is filed under the name Triticum aestivum (bread wheat). RNAcentral's name for it is "partial small subunit ribosomal RNA". Lineage: Eukaryota; Viridiplantae; Streptophyta; Magnoliopsida; Poales; Poaceae. The record is from RNAcentral.
AGAUGGAUCCCACCUCCGCCCGGGUCUGUGAAGAUACGAGUAGAUGGUGCAGUCUCAAGAAGCCAAAAUGAAGGAUCCUUCAGCGCGGUAUGUAGAGAUGCAUCGGGCCUAUACCUGGGCUCUUCUGCAAUCAGAGUCAGAGAUAUUACUGAUCCACCAACAUUGGAAGCGCUGGCAUGUCGAGAGGCGCUCGCUCUGGCACAGGACCUUGAAGUGGCUCAUGUGAUCAUCGCCUCAGAUUGCCAAGGGGUAAUCAAGGAUAUUCACAAACAGGAGGGAGGAAUGUAUGCAAGCAUAAUUAGGGAGAUUGGAGACACCGCAAGAACAAUCAACGACUGCACCUUCAUCUUCGAGGGUAGAGCUACAAAUAUUGAGGCACAUAGCCUUGCUAAGCACGUUUUUGGUCUGGAUUUCGGGCGCCAUGUGUGGCUUAUAAACCCGCCAGAUCUUCGUUGUAUCCCCAUAAACAUCUUUGAAUUCUAA